CGACUCUGGUUUCUCUUCAUUACGCACAAGCCUUUCGCCUUUACUAAAGACUUCCGUGGAGGAAACACUUACGAGUUCAACGUAUUUUGGAAGGGCUUUGCUUUCUGGCAGAGC
RNAcentral lists this small nuclear RNA (114 nucleotides) under Salmo salar (Atlantic salmon). RNAcentral's name for it is "U5 spliceosomal RNA (ENSSSAG00000083379.1)". It matches the Rfam family "U5 spliceosomal RNA". Rfam says of the family: U5 RNA is a component of both types of known spliceosome. The precise function of this molecule is unknown, though it is known that the 5' loop is required for splice site selection and p220 binding, and that both the 3' stem-loop and the Sm site are important for Sm protein binding and cap methylation. The record is from RNAcentral. Lineage: Eukaryota; Metazoa; Chordata; Actinopteri; Salmoniformes; Salmonidae.